GAGAAGGAGGACACCGGAGCCGGAGCUGAUGCUGACGGAGGACUCCCAGCCUGCAAUGACAGACCUGUGGUCAGUGUUCAGACAUCUAUUUGUUGCUGUUUUAUUCUGAUGUUUCCCUCAGAGCCUUUUCAAUCAGCUACAGGCCAGAAGGAAUCAGAACCCCAUGGAAAAGGGCUAUGCCAGGACAUAAGUGGAAAUAUUGGUUUUGCAACUAAACUCACAUUUGAAAAUGAUGCUCAUUCAAUCAAAUAUGACUAAACACUUUUAAGUGUUCUGGAACUAAGGAACUAAGACUGCCUUUACAGAGUCAUCCUUACAAAGCCUUCUUUGGAAAAACUGGCUUACAGAGUUCCCAGCCUUGCAGGUGAGUAAGAAAAGCCACUUCCUGGGAGGCCCAUGAGUCUUAGGAUAUUUUAGGGACCUCAAGAAAUGAGGAAUUCUUAUAAAUAAAACAGGUGAAAUCUGAUAUAGAGUUAUUGGCAUAGCUUCCUAGCCUUAAGAUCACUAGUAACAAGAGGCUUUAAAAAAUCCAAUCUGAGAUUCCUAAAGAAAACGUGCAGCAGAGCAAACUUAAGAACUUUAAGGAACUUUUAACACUCUUGCUGUGCCCAGCUGAACAACGCCUGUAAUCUGGGGAAAGAAGACUAAACAUCUCAUACGUGCCUGACUUGAAGAGUAGCGUAGGGAG
RNAcentral lists this long non-coding RNA (688 nucleotides) under Homo sapiens (human). RNAcentral's name for it is "HSALNT0357687". Lineage: Eukaryota; Metazoa; Chordata; Mammalia; Primates; Hominidae. The record is from RNAcentral.